UACGUAGGGGGCGAGCGUUGUCCGGAUUUAUUGGGCGUAAAGGGCGCGUAGGCGGCGCGGGCAGUCAACGGUGAAAGCUCGGGGCUCAACUCCGAGUCGGCCGUCGAUACUCCCGUGCUCGAGCACUGUAGAGGCAGGUGGAAUUCCGGGUGUAGCGGUGGAAUGCGUAGAGAUGUGGAGGAACACCAGUGGCGAAGGCGACUCUUUGGCCUGUAACUGACGCUGAGGCGCGAAAGCGUGGGGAGCAAACAGG
Molecule: ribosomal RNA, 253 nt
Filed under: uncultured bacterium
Lineage: Bacteria
Description: partial 16S ribosomal RNA
Rfam family: Bacterial small subunit ribosomal RNA
Source: RNAcentral